AGAACGAGCGCUGGCGGCAGGCUUAACACAUGCAAGUCGAACGGUUGUAGCAAUACAGCAGUGGCAGACGGGUGAGUAACACGUGGGAACCUUCCUAGGGGUACGGAACAACUCAGGGAAACUUGAGCUAAUACCGUAUACGUCCGUGAGGAGAAAGAUUUAUCGCCCCUAGACGGGCCCGCGUAGGAUUAGGUAGUUGGUGAGGUAACGGCUCACCAAGCCUACGAUCCUUAGCUGAUCUGAGAGGAUGAUCAGCCACACUGGGACUGAGACACGGCCCAGACUCCUACGGGAGGCAGCAGUGGGGAAU
This 310-nucleotide ribosomal RNA is filed under the name uncultured soil bacterium. RNAcentral's name for it is "bacterial SSU rRNA". It matches the Rfam family "Bacterial small subunit ribosomal RNA", at positions 26 to 362 of the family's 1533-position model. The record is from RNAcentral.